Molecule: ribosomal RNA, 465 nt
Filed under: uncultured bacterium
Lineage: Bacteria
Description: partial 16S ribosomal RNA
Rfam family: Bacterial small subunit ribosomal RNA
Source: RNAcentral
GACGAACGCUGGCGGCGUGCUUAACACAUGCAAGUCGAACGGAAAGGCCCUGCUUGCAGGGUACUCGAGUGGCGAACGGGUGAGUAACACGUGGGUCAUCUGCCCUGCACUUCGGGAUAAGCCUGGGAAACUGGGUCUAAUACCGGAUAGGAGCCAUUUUUAGUGUGAUGGUUGGAAAGUUUUUUCGGUGUAGGAUGAGCUCGCGGCCUAUCAGCUUGUUGGUGGGGUAAUGGCCUACCAAGGCGGCGACGGGUAGCCGGCCUGAGAGGGUGGACGGCCACAUUGGGACUGAGAUACGGCCCAGACUCCUACGGGAGGCAGCAGUGGGGAAUAUUGCACAAUGGGCGCAAGCCUGAUGCAGCGACGCCGCGUGGGGGAUAACGGCCUUCGGGUUGUAAACUCCUUUCGCUAGGGACGAAGCUUUUUGUGACGGUACCUAGAUAAGAAGCACCGGCUAACUACGUG